This 2050-nucleotide unclassified non-coding RNA is filed under the name Sipha flava (yellow sugarcane aphid). RNAcentral describes it as "splicing factor 3B subunit 3, transcript variant X3". Lineage: Eukaryota; Metazoa; Arthropoda; Insecta; Hemiptera; Aphididae. The record is from RNAcentral.
GUCAUACGACCAAUGCACAUAUGUGUUAACGUACUACUGCGUUUUCCGUAAGCCGUUGCUUGCUAUCAUUCGUCCAGAGCUCGAAGAAAAUGGCGAACUGUUUGUUUAUGAUGACCAUCUUUGGAUUCAAUAAUUAAAUUCCACGUUAUUUUCGUUCGGUUUAUUUUUUCCGUCUGAUUGAACGGUUUUGAAAUGUUCUAAAAAUACCAUUGUCUGGUUUGACUGAAUUGUCUUGGCCCGCGAAUAUCGUGUGAAGUGUACUACGGGAUUAUCGGUUACAGGUUAUUAAACUUUAAUACAUCAUGUAUUUGUAUAAUAUGACAUUGCAACGUGGUAGUGGCAUAACGCACGCUAUACAUGGAAAUUUCAGUGGUGGAAAAGUACAAGAGAUAUUAGUAUCACGUGGUAAAUCUCUAGAACUGAUGAGGCCAGAUACAAAUACUGGUAAAGUUCACACAUUAUUGACUGUUGAAGUUUUUGGAAUAGUUCGAGCAUUAAUGAGUUUUAGACAAUCCGGAGGCACUAAAGAUUAUAUUGUGGUUGGUUCUGAUUCUGGGAGAAUUGUGAUUUUGGAAUAUUUACCCUCUAAAAAUAUCUUGGAUAAAGUGCACCAAGAGACUUUUGGCAAGAGUGGAUGUAGGCGAAUUGUUCCUGGACAAUAUUUAGCUAUUGAUCCAAAAGGAAGGGCAAUAAUGAUAGGUGCUGUUGAAAAACAAAAAUUAGUUUACAUUCCUAAUAGAGAUGCUGAAGCACGACUAACAAUUUCAUCUCCUUUAGAAGCUAAUAAAAGCAAUACAUUAGUAUAUCAUAUGGUUGGAAUUGAUGUUGCAUUUGAUAACCCAAUAUUUGCUUGUCUUGAAAUUGACUAUGAGGAAGUUGACGCAGAUCCGACUGGAGAAGCCGUUCAAACUACACGGCAGACACUUACAUUUUAUGAAGUAGAUUUUGGAUUAAAUCAUGUAGUACGUAAAUAUAGUGAACCUUUAGAAGAACAUGCAAAUUCUCUCAUUACUGUUCCUGGUGAUAAAGAUGGACCUGGAGGAGUACUAAUAUGUUCAGAAAAUUAUAUAACUUACAAAAAUCAAGGGGAACAACCUGAUAUAAGGUGUCCAAUACCUCGUAGACGAAAUGAUUUAGAUGAUCCAGAACGAGGAAUGAUUUUGGUUUGCAGUGCCACGCACAAGACAAAGUCAAUGUUUUUUUUCUUAGUUCAAACUGAACAAGGAGAUGUUUUCAAAGUUACAUUAGAAACCAAUGAAGAGUUUGUUACAGAAAUUAGACUGAAAUAUUUUGAUACUGUUCCAGUAGCUUCUGCUAUGUGUGUUUUAAAAACUGGGUUUUUGUUUGUAGCAUCAGAGUUUGGGAAUCAUUAUUUAUACCAAAUAGCAAAUCUGGGUGAUGAUGAUGAUGAACCAGAAUUUAGCUCAGCAAUGCCUCUUGAAGAAGGAGAUACGUUUUUCUUUGCUCCUCGACAAUUACGAAAUUUAGUUUUAGUAGAUGAAAUGGAUUCAUUAUCACCUAUUAUGGCUUGUCAAGUUGCUGAUUUAGCUGCCGAAGAUACUCCACAAUUAUAUAUGGCUUGUGGUCGAGGAUCGAGGUCUACUUUAAGAGUUUUAAGACAUGGACUUGAAGUUUCAGAAAUGGCUGUAUCUGAACUGCCAGGCAGUCCAAAUGCAGUGUGGACAGUAAAAAGAAGAGCUGAUGGUAUUGAAUCACCGUAGUGGCUCUGAAUCAAAUAGGUAAGUUGUAGAGUUGGACGGGAGUGAUUGAAGAAAUCCACUUAUAAAAUAAGAACACACUUCCUCAGCUGAAAUAGUUAAAGAAAAUAAGUUCAUUAAUUUAUAUUCAUAUUGAUGUAAAUAGGAUGAGUCCUAAUAUGAGACAUUCCAACACUAAACAAUCAACUAGUUGUCUACUAUUGAUCACAACGUUAAAAUAUAGUUUAAUCUUUUUUUUGUCUUAAAAAUAUUUAAGUUCAAGUUGCUAAAGUUUUUAUCCUAUUGAUUUUGAAUAAUUUACUUGACAAAUAUUUUUUUAUUUUUAAAUCUUC